AAUGAACGCUGGCGGCAGGCCUAACACAUGCAAGUCGAACGGGUCCUUCGGGACUAGUGGCGGACGGGUGAGUAACGCGUGGGAACAUACCCAAAGGUACGGAAUAACCUCUGGAAACGGAGAGUAAUACCGUAUGUGCCCUUCGGGGGAAAGAUUUAUCGCCUUUGGAUUGGCCCGCGUUGGAUUAGGUAGUUGGUGGGGUAAUGGCCUACCAAGCCGACGAUCCAUAGCUGGUUUGAGAGGAUGAUCAGCCACACUGGGACUGAGACACGGCCCAGACUCCUACGGGAGGCAGCAGUGGGGAAUCUUAGACAAUGGGGGAAACCCUGAUCUAGCCAUGCCGCGUGAUCGAUGAAGGCCUUAGGGUUGUAAAGAUCUUUCAGAUGGGAAGAUAAUGACGGUACCAUCAGAAGAAGCCCCGGCUAACUCCGUGCCAGCCGCCGCAGUAA
RNAcentral lists this ribosomal RNA (449 nucleotides) under uncultured bacterium. Its description in RNAcentral is "partial 16S ribosomal RNA". It matches the Rfam family "Bacterial small subunit ribosomal RNA", at positions 29 to 523 of the family's 1533-position model. The record is from RNAcentral.